This 463-nucleotide ribosomal RNA is filed under the name uncultured bacterium. Its description in RNAcentral is "partial 16S ribosomal RNA". It matches the Rfam family "Bacterial small subunit ribosomal RNA", at positions 28 to 507 of the family's 1533-position model. The record is from RNAcentral.
GAUGAACGCUGACAGAAUGCUUAACACAUGCAAGUCGAUGGGGAAGUGGUGCUUGCACCAUGGCAACCAUGGCGGACGGGUGAGUAACGCGUAAGGGACUUACCUGCAGGACUGGGAUAACAGGGGGAAACUCCUGACAAGACCGGAUAAUGUCAUGGAGCUGCAUGGCUUUAUGAUGAAAGGAGACGCCUGCGGAGAGCCUUGCGUCCUAUUAGCUAGUUGGUGAGGUAAUGGCUCACCAAGGCGAAGAUAGGUAGCCGGCCUGAGAGGGUGGACGGCCACAAGGGGACUGAGAUACGGCCCUUACUCCUACGGGAGGCAGCAGUGGGGAAUAUUGGACAAUGGGGGCAACCCUGAUCCAGCAAUUCUGUGUGCACGAAGAAGGUUUUCGGAUUGUAAAGUGCUUUCAGCAGGGAAGAAGUAAGUGACGGUACCUGCAGAAGGAGCGACGGCUAAAUACGUG